Molecule: ribosomal RNA, 585 nt
Filed under: Triticum aestivum (bread wheat)
Lineage: Eukaryota; Viridiplantae; Streptophyta; Magnoliopsida; Poales; Poaceae
Description: partial small subunit ribosomal RNA
Source: RNAcentral
AUGGCCGCUAAGGACCCUUCAUAUUUCAAAAGUAUUCCUCUCGAACAAGAGAUCCAGCAAAAGGAGCUUCGCUUCCACCUGUACAUGUUCCAGCACUACGGCCUGAACCAAACGGAUGUAGCGCACGCUAGUCGCCCCAACUCUUUUGGUCACACCAUUGCUCAUGACUGGACCAUACGGGAGGAACCCAGCCUCAAAGCAAGAGUUGUUGCGCAUGCCCAAGGCCUGCAUCUCAGCGCCGGCAUGGACGAGGAAAACUGGUUUAUCUGUUUUAACAUAGUUUUUGCCGAUGAGAGGUUCGAGGCAUCUACCCUUAAGGUGCUCGGAGCUUUGACGAGCGAAAAAGAUGGUGAAUGGGCCAUAAUCGGUGGAACCGGAGAGUUUGCCUUCUCACAAGGUGUUGUCAAAUACAGCAAAAUCUCAGAUGCUAAUGGCUACUGUAUCAGGGAGCUUCAUCUUCGUGCUCUGUGCCUCACCUUUCCCAAGCCAGUUUACCGUGAAGAGGGGAAAUGCCGGCAGCUGGAAUUCUGGCUGGAAAAGGAGCAAACAUUGGAAACCUACUCUGCACUGCUCCAAAAGUCCUGA